UACGUAGGGGGCUAGCGUUAUCCGGAAUUACUGGGCGUAAAGCGCGCGUAGGCGGCCGCCUAAGCGGAACCUCUAACCCCGGGGCUCAACCUCGGGCCGGGUUCCGGACUGGGCGGCUCGAGUGCGGUAGAGGAGAGCGGAAUUCCCGGUGUAGCGGUGGAAUGCGCAGAUAUCGGGAAGAACACCGAUGGCGAAGGCAGCUCUCUGGGCCGUCACUGACGCUGAGGCGCGAAAGCUGGGGGAGCGAACAGG
RNAcentral lists this ribosomal RNA (252 nucleotides) under uncultured bacterium. Its description in RNAcentral is "partial 16S ribosomal RNA". It matches the Rfam family "Bacterial small subunit ribosomal RNA", at positions 524 to 776 of the family's 1533-position model. The record is from RNAcentral.